RNAcentral lists this long non-coding RNA (363 nucleotides) under Bos taurus (domestic cattle). Its description in RNAcentral is "long non-coding RNA NONBTAT025324". The record is from RNAcentral. Lineage: Eukaryota; Metazoa; Chordata; Mammalia; Artiodactyla; Bovidae.
AAAGUAUAAAAGUCCUUUUAUUAAAAGUUUUUCCCCACAUACCUGCAACACAAAUAGUCUUAUUUAUAAAAUGUUAUAAUCAUAUUAAGGUAUAUAUAGUAAUAAAAUCUAGAAAAGGAAAAAUUGGUUUUACUAGCUGAUAGGAUAUUAAAAUAUAGAAACUGAAAUAAAAGAAUUAUACAUGAAAAGAAAAUCAGCAUUGAAGACAAAAUGAGAAAAUAGGCCCUCAUAUCAACAGGACUGAAGGUAUGUAAGAGGAGUAACGGGGGUAUGGGGAGGAAGUAUAAAAUGUUUUGAGGAAUUACUAAGGGAAUAAAAUAAUCUCUUACUUAUAUAUAUGUAAUUAUUUACAUUCCCCUACUA